Long non-coding RNA from Betta splendens (Siamese fighting fish), 1268 nucleotides. RefSeq lists it as uncharacterized. NCBI's taxonomy places the organism in Eukaryota, Metazoa, Chordata, Actinopteri, Anabantiformes, Osphronemidae. The record is from RefSeq and is a predicted model, not a curated record. The transcript is spliced from 2 exons.
UCAGCGCGAGCUGAGCGACGGUGGCGUUUACGCGCAAAAGUUGAACCAGUCCGUUACACGGUGAGGUUUUGGGCGGACGGUCAGUUAAGCUUCACGGGACGAGACGUCACGUUCAGAGAGUCCUCAGCGUGUGUCCAGCGGGAACAAACAGAACAGCAGCAGCAUUUAAAUCGAACACACGUAUUUCACUCCAGUCCAUAAACACGCACGAGCUGCUCGUUGCACCGUUGAACCAAGAAAAGCUCGUCGUCAAACCGUCCAAAAACGUUGUUUCCGCUCCGAGGAGUCGAUGAACGCGGGUUCCGCAGCACGAACACUGAUGGAGGCAGACAAAGCUCUAAGGGUCCCAACCAGGAAGAACACGAGCAGAGGGAACGGGAGGAGGAGGAGGACACAAGAGAUGGUAUGGUGCAAUUUACCCUGUAUAGAAGCAUCCCAUUUAUCAAAAAAGGCAAAAACCAAAGCCAGAGUCCAGACCGCAGCACAGAGCAGCAGCGACAUCUUGACUGUUCGUCUGGUUCGGUACCACAGCGGCCAGACGAUGACCAGAUACCUGGAACACAGAGACAGCAGACGACGGUCACCACCAUCAUCCAUGAUGAAAUGAUGGACACACGUUCUACAGGAAGUUACCUUUCCAGAGCGAUGCACAGCAUGAAGUACACACUGGCUGAAACACCGAAGACGUACAUGCAUUCCCCAAUAAUAGUGACAGUUUCUUGUCCUGUCAGCACAAUGAUCAUGGAGCAGAGCUGAAUGACGUCAGAAACCAGGAGGUUGAUGACGAAGAUCGGAGCAACGUUGUCUUUCUUCACCUGCAGAUUUAAUGUUGUUUAUGUUGCAUUAACUGGACUUUUAUUUCAGACAUGACUUCGUUUUAUUAUCAGUCAGUUCUAACUUGUUCAGGAUGAAAACAACAGCUCCAGCUCAGUGUCACCACUUACUGGACUUAAGGGUCUUUAACAGUGAACUGAGCAACUGUCAACAUGAGAAAGUAAAUGACAUAACAAACGAACCAGAGAGGAAACAGCAAAGAUGGCGAUGGGCGUCAGGACGAGACCGAUGGUGAACAUCAGCCAUGUUGAAACCUUUAGUAUAUUAUCAUAAAGCCAUCUUUCACCAUCGUAGGUGAUUGCAACUUCUGUUCCAUUAUAAACCUCAUAGAUGUUGUCAGCAGUGUCCAUCAUUGUGUCGUUUAUGUUGCUCUGAUUCAUUCUUCACUGAGAAACUGGAAAAGAACAGAGUUUAAUAAAGUGUCAGUAAAGUUC